AGGGUGCCCGCGGCGAUGAGGGUGCAGCCCGGACGCGGUGAUUCCCACGCGCGAUACGCGCGCGAGGCGAUCACCCAGGGCGUGGGCACCGCGUCGACAUCGCAGAACGGGCCGAGUUCGCGUGGGACAUAGUGGCCAGCCACCCGCUCGGCGGCGCGCCAAAAGCGCGCGCACAGGGCCAACAUCCUCUCAAUCAUGACAGAGUCGCGCUGCGGUCCCAGACGAUGGAACCCGACGCCAUGGGCCAUCGCCGAGAUAGCAAUGCAGAGACGCGUGGUCAUCGGGCGCCUGCCUUGCAUCGUCUCCUCGGCCACCAUCGCCCACGCGGCCCAAUCUAUUUCGCUCGCUCGGCCGCCGAGGUCGCUCUCUGCUCGGUCGCCAUGGUCGUCCAUCGCGACUGUCGCCUCUUUCGCUCGGAAAAAAAAGCAAGGAUAAUUUGGUCGGCGAGCAAGGCUGCCAAUACCCAGUGGAUGAGGAAAAGAAUUUGCCAGGUCGCGCUUGGGGUCGUCGCCGGCCUCUUCCUUGGCGUUGGGACGGUCUCGUCCUUGCCUUCUUUUUUUGUUUUUCCUUUCUGCCGUGCUCACCCCCCCUCCAGCGGUUGUGCGCCAGGAUUCGCGGCUUGGCACAGGAAGGAAAAAGUGCCCGUUCGUCGGCCAACCAAGAAGAGAAAAGAGGCGGGUGCGAAUUGGCAGACAGCGCCGCCUCUGCCUGCGCCACCGCCGGCAAGCACUCCAGGUGGCGGCCGCUCCGCCCAGGCUACGUCCCGAGCCGGUCGCGACUCGCCGGACCAGCGCUUGCGCGUGGUUAGUUGGCUAGUGGUCGACCAAGGACCUUGGUCGGCCGGUUAGCCAUGGCCAAGUCGGAUGUAUGAAAGUCCUGUCGACUGAAUGAAUCAUAAUAAAAAAAAAAAGGAAGAAAAAUCACGACAACGACCAAGAGACGCGCGCGAACCAAACUCGAUUUUCCAUUCCGACUGAACAGCGAGCGCGAACCGGCGCGCUCGCGUCUGGAUCUGAAUAACUGGUUUUAUCCGAC
Molecule: long non-coding RNA, 1035 nt
Filed under: Pandoravirus dulcis
Description: putative ncRNA
Source: RNAcentral